UUUUAUUUUUUUUUUAUAAAAGUCAAAAAAGUCAACUCAAACAAAUUUUUUAACUUGAAUAAAAUGUCUAAAAAUUCAAAAAAAUCAACCAAACUUUCCAACCAAAUCCUAAGACUAACGCUAUGUUUAGUUGGGAGAUUUGGGAAAGGAUUUGAAAAGAGAAAGGAAAAAAAUGUGUGAAACUAGAUAAAAUAGAUAUAUUUUAUUCAUAUUUCACUUGUCUUUUCCUUUUUCCUUUCUAAAUCCAUUCCUAAAUUGUACAACCAAACAUACAUAAAGGAAAAUAAUUUGUAGGUUAGACCACCAGGUUGUAUUUGAUCUUGACCAAUUAUAAGCGGCUAGUUUUCACUUACCCUUUUUUUGGGUACAUCAGAAAUAAAACAUAGUGCGAACAAAAAUGAUCCGUAGCUCGAAGGUUUCGGGCUCGAAUGGCUCGAAAGUUUAAAUUUCUCUCUCCUCUCGAUCUCUUCCCCUCUCCGCCUCUGCAGUUCACUCUCGCCUCUCUCACCUCUCUCACUCUCAACAAACCUCUCUUUCACUCUCGCCUUAUCCCUCUCUCCUCUCUAUCUCUUCACUCUCACCUCUUGCCUCUCUCACCUGUCUCUUGAAGGAGUUCGAAGGACGACGAAACGGUGGACGAACGAUAGCGGAGGCAGACGAACCACGACGGAGGAAGGAGGACGACGAACCACGACGAAGGACGAACGAGAGCCGGCGACAGCGAAUCUGAGAUAAAAAAAUGGCUUCAUCUUCUACUAAUAAUACAAACAUAAGAUUAAAGCCAAGGUUUUGUAAUUGUAGAAGAACAACUUCCAUACGUAUAGUACGAACCAAUGAGAAUGGAAAUGAAAGACGUGUCUAUUUUGUUUGCCCAAGAAAAUAUACUACAAACGAACAUUGCAAUUACUUCAGGUGGUUCACGGAUGAUGACGACGACGACAUUACCUCCACAAUCCGUGCCAAUGCUGGACCUCGGACAGAUUCAAGAACAGAAGAAAUUAAUGAUCUAAGGAGAAGGCUUGGUGAGCAUGAUAGAAGGCUUCAAAGGAUGGAGAAGAUUUUCAAGGCAAUGACUUAUGUCAUUGUAUUUUGUGUAUUUUUGUACUUUAUCAUGUAAAUGACUCAGUUGUUAGGUUUUGGAACAUGCUAUGAAUGUAAUCUACUUUUCUACUUGUUUUGUAAUUUUUUUUU
Non-coding RNA from Camellia sinensis, 1191 nucleotides. The record is from RefSeq and is a predicted model, not a curated record. NCBI's taxonomy places the organism in Eukaryota, Viridiplantae, Streptophyta, Magnoliopsida, Ericales, Theaceae.